UACAACCCAAAACCAAAUAAUAAUAUUAAUAAGAUAAAACUUAUAAAGAAAUAAAUCGGCUACUUAUUGCAAUUAAAAGAAACAGAAACAGUAGUGUGGCCAUCUCCGAGUCCCUCACAGCUCUAAACCAUCUAAGCUUAGGGAUUACCUAAAUAGUUAGAAACGAGGUGAGUUUACAAAAACUCAGUGUGUAAUCCCAAUAACAAACAAACAGUGAAUACACAGUAUCAUUACAAUCUGGGCCAAAGCCCCAUUUAGUCUUGACAUAUACUGGGCCGAAACCUUUUCAUAAAUCAUAUCACUGGCCGAAGCCUUUACUGUAAACGGUAUGGCCCUUAGGCCCAUUUCAAUAUCACAUGUAAUGUCAAUGGAUGUAUGCAAGCCCAUUUCAAUAUCACAUGAAAUACUAAUGAAUGUAUGCAAGCCCAUUUGGGGAGACUACUCGACCCACCAUCCGCUACUCUCCACCCGUACCAACGAAGCUCAUCAUGUGGGGAAUAACUCAACCCACCCAACCAAACUCUCCAUUGGAAGUAUAGUUGCUUUAUCAUAUAACUGGAGGCCUAGCCUCUUUUAAUAACUGGGGCAGAGCCCUUUUCGGUAAACUGGGGUAGAGCCCUUUUAGCACUUCUUCCAUCAAUAUAACCCAUAUCCCAUGCAAUAUGUCAUGUAUGAAGAAUGUCAUGCCCAUAUUUGAAUCAAACAAUCACAGUUAAGUCACUCAUAUCACCAACAUAUAUUCACAAUCAAAUUCGUCAACCACACAGUCCAAGUCAGUCACUUGCCCACAAGAGCAAAAUAGUUAUUUUUCAUAUUAUAAGGGUAUUUUCGUAAUUUUACCAAAUAUCAGGGUUUUCCAUGUUCAUUACAAUUUUCAAUAUUUUCGAGUGUUUAAACAAUUAUCUUUAACCCGCUUUAUCAAAUUUGAGCUUUUGGGCCCAAAACCCCUAAUGGGCCCUACGAAUGCUGAUUUAGCCUACUUAAUCCAAACUUUACAACAAUACUAAUCGUAUUAACGUGCAACUUUUCCAAAUUCCAUUUUUUUAUCAAUUUUACCUAAAUGGGCCCAAAAGCCCAUUGGGCCUAAUUCUAGACCAUUGAGGCCCAACUUACCAUUGUGCACAAAAUCGAGUUCUUACCUGUUCCAUCAAUCCAAACACCGAUCUUAUCGUAUUUAUCGCAUCUAUACCCAAACGCAACAUUACAAGUUCUUGAAAUACCGGUAUUUUAGCAUUUUGGCUUCUCAGCAAAUAUUAAUCUAAGCUAUUACGAGGGUUAGUACACACCUGUUACGGGUUGAAGUUGAAACGUUUCCAUAUUCAAUCACCUACGAUAACCACCACCUGUCACUCAAACUUAACUAUUCCAAUAUCAAUAUAUGUAAACCCUAAGCACAUCAAUCAUACGGAACAUAAGGGCGUAUUCAUCAUUUUACCAUACAAGGGUAUUACGGUCACUUUACCCUACAGGGGCUUUACGGUCUUUUUACCUAUUAAGGGUAUUUUAGUCAUUUCAUCCUACAAUGGUGUUUUUGUAAGUCUACAAACCAAGGGUAUUUCAAUAAUUUUGUAAACCAAUGGUGUUCCUAUAAUUUUCAAAAAAGUCAAGGGUAUUUCUAUAAUUUUGUAAAUCAGGGUUAUUUUGGUAAUUUUACAAAUUGAGGGUAUUUCAGUAAUUUCUUAAACCAGUGGUAUUUUGGUAAUUCUAUCCUACAGUGGUAUUUCAGUUAUUUCACAAUCGAGGGUAAAACGGUAAUUUUGCAAACUGAGGGUAAAAUGGUAAUUUUGUAAAUCGAGGGUAAAACGAUAAUUCUAUAAAUCGAGGGUACUUUGGUAAUUUUACAAAUUGAGGGCAUUUCAAUAAUUUGGUAAACUAAAGUAAUCUAAACAGGGAUAACAAUAUGAAUGGGCCUAAAGCCUAUUCGCGGCCCAAAUAGGCCCACAUGCUCGUGUGGCCCUUUUAGCCCAAAUCUAGCCACAAAUAUGAGAUUCACCUAGCCUAGUCCAAUAUUUACUACAUAAUCAAACAACUUAUCCAAUUGGGCCCGUAGGCCCAUUAGGCCCACAUGGCCCCUUUCAGCCCAUCGCGGCCCGAAGUAGCCAUCCUACAGCUAGAGUAGCGAGAAAAUACACACUUGAUUGGAGACUGGAGUUAAUCCACGCUCCGAGCACUCUUAGCCGACGCCCAACCCAAACGAGCACGCCAUAAAGCGAAAGGGAUCAGCCAAGAAAGGUACCUCUACUCUCCUUAUGGUUCUCUCUAUUUAAAGCCAGCUUCGCAUCCCCUCUUGUGUUAGCUUCCCGAUGUGGGAUCCAUCCAACAUCAGAGUUUAAAUUCAACACCAACUCUUGCCCCCUGUUGCAAAAUAAACGCUCUUUGAUUGCCAUGAGUUUCAAACCCUGGACCUCCUUGCCAACUCUAUGACGCCACCUUGCCACUUCACCACAGGCUCUUUUUGUGUCAUAUUUUAUCCCCAAUUAAUUAUAAGGUCUAAAGGCCAAAAUCCAGGUUCCCUUAAAAAAACCAAAAUAAAUUGCAAGAGCCAAGGCUUGAACCCAGGCUCCCAUACAACCUUAAUGACGCCACAACCACUAGACUACAAGCUUCCUUGUGUCAUUUAUUUAACACAAUAAUUUAAAAGCACUCAUCCAAGCAUCCAGCUUUUUUUUCUCUGAAUACAAAAAAUUUUGCUAAAGCCCAAGUUUGAACCCAAGAUUUCUCUAACACUUCUGAGGGCCAUUAACCACCAAAGCAGACAUUUAAUUAUGUCAUUUCAUUGCACAAUUAAAUACCUAUAUACAACCUCCUUACGGACCCACACUCAAGGCCCAAUACUUCUAGGCCCAAAUUUGGGGUGUUACAAUUCUACCUCCCUUAAAGAAAUUUCGUCCUCGAAAUUUUCCACUCUCAGACUACACCACCACACUUCCGCUGCGCACUCUGAUACUAAUAAUACUAACAUACACCCAAAACAUUUAUCCAUCGGAGCGGAUAGAUUUCACAUGCAAACAAUUUCUACAUUUCCAGAACGCACACCAAAUAAAUACUAAAUCUAAAUUCAAGCGUUACAGUUUACUCUAACUAGAGAGUUCCAGUAUUGUGCCACUAUCUAUAGUAGUUUCUCAAUAUAGCAUUUCAAUCUAUAACAGUAAACAGAGUUAGAGAACUUAAAAUUUUGGUGCCGGAGACUCGGUGUGCCACACCUCCAAUAACAUCUUUUCAGAAACAAGUCAAGUUUUGUUAAGAGAUUUCAAAACAAAAUUUUAGAAAAACCCUUUCCAAACCCCAAUUUCAGAAAAAGAAAAACAACAAUAAUUUUCUGCUACCCAUACCACAAUCGAGUUUUGUAACUUGGCUCUAAUACCACUAAAUGUAACACCCCAAACUCAGCCCAGACGUUAUGGCUGGAUCCGACGUGUCACAUUGAAGUUUUUAAGAAAACCCAUGCCUCUUUCAACGUCCUUCUUAGUGUUUUAAAAGAUAGUCUUUGGUAAGUGAAUAAAGUGAAUGCAAGCUGUGCACCAGGUAGGUAUCUGAAACAGAGGAGGUGAGCCAUGAAGGCUGCUUAAGUACCAAGCUCUUUAUUGGAUCCAAUCCUAGACAUGCCCACAACCAUUGCCACACUUUGGUGCUAGGUUAGGUUUUGAGAAAAAUGAGUUGGAAUUCAUUUAAGUAGAUAUUUUUGAUAAACCGAUUAAUUGUAUCGUUGCAUUAUUUUGGAAACAAUUAUCAUUUUGGAAACUCGCCCUAGGUCUAACUCAUAUUGUUAUCAAAAAAAUAUAAGGUAUAAAAUAAAAUAAUCACAGAAAAAUAAUUAAAAUGGCGUUAUUACAACCCAAAACCAAAUAAUAAUAUUAAUAAGAUAAAACUUAUAAAGAAAUAAAUCGUCUACUUAUUGCAAUUAAAAGAAACAGAAAUAGUAGUGUGGCCAUCUCUGAGUCCCUCGCAGCUCCAAACCAUCUAAACUUAGGGAUUACCUGAACAAUUAGAAACGAGGUGAGUUUACGAAAACUCAGUGUGUAAUCCCAAUAACAAACAAACAGUGAAUACACAGUAUCAGUACAAUCUAGGCCAAAGCCCUAUUUAGUCUUGACAUAUACUUGGCCGAAACCUUUUCAUAAAUCGUAUCACUGGCCGAAGCCUUUAUUGUAAACGAUAUGGCCCUUAGGCCCAUUUCAAUAUCACAUGUAAUGUCAAUGGAUGUAUGCAAGCCCAUUUCAAUAUCACAUGAAAUACCAAUGAAUGUAUGCAAGCCCAUUUGGGGAGACUACUCAACCCACCAUCCGCUACUCUCCACCCGUACCAACCAAGCUCUCCAUGUGGGGAAUAACUCAACCCACCCAACCAAGCUCUCCACUGGCAGCAUAGCUGCUUUAUCAUAUAACUGGAGGCCUAGCCUCUUUUAAUAACAGGGGCAACACCCUUUUCGGUAAACUGGGGCAGAGCCCUUUUAGCACUUCCUCCAUCAAUAUAACCCAUAUCCCAUGCAAUAUGUCAUCUAUGUAGAAUGUCAUGCCCAUAUUUGAAUCAAAAAAUCACAGUCAAGUCACUCAUAUCACCAACUUAUAUUCACAAUCAAAUCCGUCAACCACACAGUCCAAGUCACUCACUUGCCCACAAGGGCAAAACAGUCAUUUUUCAUAUUAUAAGGGUAUUUUUGUAAUUUUACCAAAUAUCAGGGUUUUCCAUGUCCGUUACAGUUGUCAAUAUUUUCGAGUGUUUAAACAAUGAUCUUUAACCCACUUUAUCAAAUUCGGGCUUUUGGGCCCAAAACCCCUAAUGGGCCCUAUGAAUGCUAAUUUAGCCUACUUAACCCAAGUUUUACAACAAUACUAACCGUGUUAACGUGCAACUUUUCCAAAUUUCAUUUUUUAUCAAUUUUACCCAAAUGGGCCCAAAAGCCCAUUGGGCCCAAUUCCAGCCCACUGAGGCCCAACUUACCAAUGUGCACAAAAUUGAGUUCUUACCUGUUCCAUCGAUCCAAACACUGAUCUUAUCGUAUUUAUCACAUCUAUACCCAAAUGUAACAUUACAAGUUCCCGAAAUACCAGUAUUUUAGCAUUUCGGCUUCUCAGCAAAUAUUAAUCUAAGCUAUUACAAGGGUUAGUACACACCUGUUACGGGUUGAAGUUGAAAUGUUUCCAUAAUCAAUCACCUACGAUAACAACCACCUGUCACUCAAACUUAACUAUUCCAAUAUCAAUAUAUGUAAAUCCUAAGCACAUCAGUCAUACGAAACAUAAGGGCGUAUUCAUCAUUUUACCAUACAAGGGUAUUACGGUCACUUUACCCUACAGGGGCUUUACGGUCUUUUUACCUAUUAGGGAUAUUUUAGUCAUUUCAUCCUACAAGGGUGUUUUGGUAAAUCUACAAACCAAGGGUAUUUUAGUAAUUUUGUAAACCAAUGGUAUUCCUAUAAUUUUUAAAAAAGUCGAGGGUAUUUCUGUAAUUUUGUAAAUCAAGGGUAUUUCGGUAAUUUUACAAAUUGAGGGUAUUUCGGUAAUUUCUCAAACCAGUGGUAUUUUGGUAAUUCUAUCCUAUAGGGGUAUUUCAGUAAUUUCACAAUCGAGGGUAAAACGGUAAUUUUGUAAACUGAGGGUAAAAUGGUAAUUUUGUAAAUCGAGGGUAAAACGAUAAUUCUAUAAAUCGAGGGUACUUUGGUAAUUUUACAAAUUGAGGGCAUUUCAGUAAUUUGGUAAACUAAAGUAUUCUAAACAGGGAUAAUAAUACGAAUGGGCCUAAAGCCUAUUCUCGGCCCAAAUAGGCCCACACGCUCGUGUGGCACUUGUAGCCCAAAUCUAGCCACAAAUAUGAGAUUCACCUAGCCUAGUCCAAUAUUUACUACACAAUCAAACAACUUAUCCACUUGGGCCCGUAGGCCCAUUAGGCCCACAUGACCCCUUUCAGCCCGUCGCAGCCCGAAGUAGCCAUCCUACAGCUAGAGUAGCGAGAAAAUACACACUUGAUUGGAGACUGGAGUUAAUCCACGCUCCGAGCACUCUUAGCCGACGCCCAACCCAAACGAGCACGCCAUAAAGCGAAAGGGAU
RNAcentral lists this long non-coding RNA (6048 nucleotides) under Gossypium barbadense (sea-island cotton). Its description in RNAcentral is "long non-coding RNA (GBAR_LNC004584)". The record is from RNAcentral. Lineage: Eukaryota; Viridiplantae; Streptophyta; Magnoliopsida; Malvales; Malvaceae.